Molecule: unclassified non-coding RNA, 180 nt
Filed under: Ambisporaceae sp.
Lineage: Eukaryota; Fungi; Glomeromycota; Glomeromycetes; Archaeosporales; Ambisporaceae
Description: partial contains 5.8S ribosomal RNA and internal transcribed spacer 2
Rfam family: 5.8S ribosomal RNA (bases 1-71)
Source: RNAcentral
GUGAAUCAUCAAAUCUUUGAACGCAUAUUGCACUCUCUGGUAUUCCGGAGAGUAUGCCUAUUUGAGGGUCAUUUUAAAUAAUAUAAAUGCCAAGUUUUCUCGGAAUUUAUAUUGGGUUGUCCAUUUUUUGUGGUCUUCUUGGAUCAAAGACAAGCUCAUUUUCUUUUGUUGCGUUAUACU